AUACGGGGUAAUUCUCGAUAAUGUCGUGAGACCAAACGGUCCGCCGCCUUUUGAGGGGCCCAUGUGAUAUUAGCUAGUAGGUGAGGUAAUAGCUCACCAAGGCGAAGAUGUCUAGCGGGUGUGAGAGCACGACCCGCGCCACUGGCACUGAGACACUGGCCAGACACCUACGGGUGGCUGCAGUCGAGGAUCUUCGGCAAUGGGCGCAAGCCAGACCGAUCGAUGCCGCGUGUGCGACGAGGACCUUCGGGUUGUAGAACACUGUCGAGAGGGAGAAAUGCCGAAACGGCUUGAUCUAUCUCUGGAGGAAGGGCGGGCUAAGUUCCGUGCCAGCAGUCCGCGGUAAGACGAACCGCCCGAACGU
RNAcentral lists this ribosomal RNA (364 nucleotides) under uncultured bacterium. Its description in RNAcentral is "bacterial SSU rRNA". It matches the Rfam family "Bacterial small subunit ribosomal RNA", at positions 156 to 541 of the family's 1533-position model. The record is from RNAcentral.